UGGGCGAAAGCCUGAUGGAGCGACGCCGCGUGCAGGAAGAAGUCCUUCGGGAUGUAAACUGCUUUUAUUAGGGACGAAUUCGUGACGGUACCUAAUGAAUAAGAGGUUGCUAACUCUGUGCCAGCAGCAGCGGUAAUACAGAGACCUCAAGCGUUAUCCGGAAUUACUGG
This 170-nucleotide ribosomal RNA is filed under the name Candidatus Magasanikiibacteriota bacterium. RNAcentral's name for it is "Candidatus Magasanikbacteria bacterium partial 16S ribosomal RNA". It matches the Rfam family "Bacterial small subunit ribosomal RNA", at positions 372 to 557 of the family's 1533-position model. The record is from RNAcentral. Lineage: Bacteria; Candidatus Magasanikiibacteriota.